CCCUCUCUCGUUUCUUCAUUGCUCUCAGAAACGCAAGAGCUUUCUAUCUCUUUAGAAAUUUAGCCAUCCCUCUCUGUUUCACUCAGACCCCAUAUCUCUUUAAAAUGAAAAAUUAGCUCUCCUUCUCUCUCAUUUUUCUCAAUCCUCGCAGCCUCUCAUCAUGUCUAUCUCAAAAACCAAACGCAUACCCCAGAGCCGCACUAUACCCCCAAACUUAAUCUCUGAACCAGGACCAUCCAAGCGCAUCUUCCACUCUUCUACGAUAUCCUCAUUCAUCAUCUAGCUGCCUUCGAACCUCAUAAAUCGAGCACCCUCAAACAGUAAUAUCAACAGUUACAAAGAUGACACCGCAGAUCACAUCCCUCUCUGAUUCCGACACAUUCAUGGUUUUAAGGGCAAAGUAUGCAAAGGGAAGCAUUUUGGAGCCUUUUGGAGCAAAUUAGAGCUUGGAAUGGACAUCAUAUGCUUGGAGCUAAGAGGAUGGAUGAAAUUGAAGAUUUGAAGAUGAUGUUUCCUACUUGAACACGGUUUCCUAGUCGAAGUAGGAAAGUUAAAUCCAAAUGGCAUCAAGUUUCAGCAACAAAGAAGUUUUCCAAGUCCAAGAAGGAAAGGUUUCCAAGAUGAAGAGGGAGAAGAAUUCCAAGUCAAGGGAGGAUUGAGACAUGUUUUCCUAAUGCUAGAAGGACUCCUAAUUGUUGUAGGACACAAAUGAGAAGUUUCUAGACUGUUCCCCUCCUUGCCGUGAGUUUCCUACAUUUCCUAUCAGUUUUGGGGCUUUCUAGAAGCCCUAUCCCUAAUC
This 799-nucleotide small RNA is filed under the name Malus domestica (apple). RNAcentral describes it as "sRNA MD04G0070600". The record is from RNAcentral. Lineage: Eukaryota; Viridiplantae; Streptophyta; Magnoliopsida; Rosales; Rosaceae.